UACGUAGGGUGCGAGCGUUAAUCGGAAUUACUGGGCGUAAAGCGUGCGCAGGCGGUUCGUUGUGUCUGAUGUGAAAGCCCCGGGCUCAACCUGGGAAUGGCAUUGGAAACUGGCGAGCUAGAGUGUGGCAGAGGGGGGUGGAAUUCCGCGUGUAGCAGUGAAAUGCGUAGAGAUGCGGAGGAACACCGAUGGCGAAGGCAGCCCCCUGGGCUAACACUGACGCUCAUGCACGAAAGCGUGGGGAGCAAACAGG
RNAcentral lists this ribosomal RNA (253 nucleotides) under uncultured bacterium. RNAcentral describes it as "partial 16S ribosomal RNA". It matches the Rfam family "Bacterial small subunit ribosomal RNA", at positions 524 to 776 of the family's 1533-position model. The record is from RNAcentral.